RNAcentral lists this long non-coding RNA (236 nucleotides) under Elaeis guineensis (African oil palm). RNAcentral describes it as "long non-coding RNA (EGUI_LNC051972)". Lineage: Eukaryota; Viridiplantae; Streptophyta; Magnoliopsida; Arecales; Arecaceae. The record is from RNAcentral.
CCUUUUGCAUCUAAGGAGAUUUAGGAAUCCAAAUGAUCCCCUGAGAGAGAUCUGAAGAAGGAAGAAGAAGGUGAUUCAACUUUGGAUUUCUGAAGAUCCACGACAUAGCACUUAGAAGAGAUAAUAGUGUCCUGGAACAUUCUUCUCUUAAGAGGAUCACCUAACCCUCUAAUAUUCCAUAUUAGAAUUGACAUAAUCCAAGAUAGAAGUACCACCAAUAAACUGACCAAGGCCCA